Schistocerca piceifrons (Central American locust) is the source of this 499-nucleotide long non-coding RNA. RefSeq lists it as uncharacterized. The transcript is spliced from 3 exons. NCBI's taxonomy places the organism in Eukaryota, Metazoa, Arthropoda, Insecta, Orthoptera, Acrididae. The record is from RefSeq and is a predicted model, not a curated record.
GGUCGUCUAACAUUUGUAUCAUCUGCAACCUGCAUCCCGCGUUCAUGUAGGACGGCAGUUCAAGGAAGAUGGUAGUUCCAACAUCCAUCUCAGAGCGAUGGAGCUUAGCACCGCCAACUACUGAGGAAACACACGUGUACAGUCACUGCUGAAUGGCCCCAAAAACGAGUGGCAGUGACUGCAACAUCAAGCGCACUGCACCUGAACAACUGCAACCACAAUAUGAUUACGAGUGAUGUCAGUGGCUUGAAAAGAAGGACGGAAGAUGAGCUGAUUAAGGACGGAGUGAAACUUUGGACUCAGGAAGGAUUAAGAAGGAUACAUGCUGGCAUUUGCCUUACGAGUUAUAGAAAAAUCAUGGAAAAUAUAUGGAUGGACGCACGAGGAAUUGAACAGCCGGCCUUCUUGAGUGUGUUAGCACUGUAUCUCCUCGCUCUUAGGCAUGGAAUGCAUAGAAUGGUGUCAACACGAUAUUUCCGUAUCAGUGCUUAGUUUUCUU